AUUGAACGCUGGCGGCAGGCCUAACACAUGCAAGUCGAACGGUAACAGGAAGCAGCUUGCUGCUUCGCUGACGAGUGGCGGACGGGUGAGUAAUGUCUGGGAAACUGCCUGAUGGAGGGGGAUAACUACUGGAAACGGUAGCUAAUACCGCAUAACGUCGCAAGACCAAAGAGGGGGACCUUAGGGCCUCUUGCCAUCGGAUGUGCCCAGGUGGGAUUAGCUAGUAGGUGGGGUAGCGGCUCACCUAGGCGACGAUCCCUAGCUGGUCUGAGAGGAUGACCAGCCACACUGGAACUGAGACGCGGUCCAGACUCCUACGGGAGGCAGCAGUGGGGAAUAUUGCACAAUGGGCGCAAGCCUGAUGCAGCCAUGCCGCGUGUAUGAAGAAGGCCUUCGGGUUGUAAAGUACUUUCAGCGGGGAGGAAGGGAGUAAAGUUAAUACCUUUGCUCAUUGACGUUACCCGCAGAAGAAGCACCGGCUAACUCCGUG
This 490-nucleotide ribosomal RNA is filed under the name uncultured bacterium. RNAcentral describes it as "partial 16S ribosomal RNA". It matches the Rfam family "Bacterial small subunit ribosomal RNA", at positions 30 to 507 of the family's 1533-position model. The record is from RNAcentral.